GAUGAACGCUGGCGGCGUGCUUAACACAUGCAAGUCGAACGGAAAGGCUCCUGCUUGCAGGGGUACUCGAGUGGCGAACGGGUGAGUAACACGUGGGUGAUCUGCCCUGCACUUCGGGAUAAGCCUGGGAAACUGGGUCUAAUACCGGAUAGGACGAUGGUUUGGAUGCCAUUGUGGAAAGUUUUUUCGGUGUGGGAUGAGCUCGCGGCCUAUCAGCUUGUUGGUGGGGUAAUGGCCUACCAAGGCGUCGACGGGUAGCCGGCCUGAGAGGGUGAACGGCCACAUUGGGACUGAGAUACGGCCCAGACUCCUACGGGAGGCAGCAGUGGGGAAUAUUGCACAAUGGGCGCAAGCCUGAUGCAGCGACGCCGCGUGGGGGAUGACGGCCUUCGGGUUGUAAACUCCUUUCGCUAGGGACGAAGCGCAAGUGACGGUACCUGGAGAAGAAGCACCGGCUAACUACGUG
This 466-nucleotide ribosomal RNA is filed under the name uncultured bacterium. RNAcentral describes it as "partial 16S ribosomal RNA". It matches the Rfam family "Bacterial small subunit ribosomal RNA", at positions 28 to 507 of the family's 1533-position model. The record is from RNAcentral.